AUUCUGUUUUUUACCGUUCGCCUCGCGAACACAGUUCGCCCCGCGAACUGAAUUCACAGCUUCAGUUCGCGCCGCGAACGAAGUUCGCCCCGCGAACAGUGAAUGGCAGAACUAAUUUUUUUUGAAAUUUCCUUCAGUUCGCCCCGCGAACUGAAAAAAAAAAAAAACUUUGUUUUAUGUCAUUUUCGUUUCAUUCCUAUUUUCACAAACUUAGGAGAUUCUUUCAACAAUCUCGUUGCUCCACUUCCAAACCUCUACAUUUCAAAAUUUCUCCUCUCCAUUCCCUUCCUAAGAGGAUUUUGUUGAUUAUGCUAAGUGGCUUGAGGGCAAGCCAAUUUUUU
This 341-nucleotide long non-coding RNA is filed under the name Lathyrus oleraceus (garden pea). Its description in RNAcentral is "Pisum sativum (pea) long non-coding RNA (PSAT_LNC030595)". The record is from RNAcentral. Lineage: Eukaryota; Viridiplantae; Streptophyta; Magnoliopsida; Fabales; Fabaceae.